This 519-nucleotide long non-coding RNA is filed under the name Gallus gallus (chicken). The record is from RNAcentral. Lineage: Eukaryota; Metazoa; Chordata; Aves; Galliformes; Phasianidae.
CAGAAUGUGAAAACUACUAUAGGCAUCUACCCCAUGAAACCACAUCACUUUGAUUCAGUUACUGCCCAUUAAGCUAGCCGAGCAUUUUGAAGCUAUUUCUUCAAUAGUUCUCUAAUUGGUUUGAUUCAGACCGUGAGUGGUCUUUUACAGUUGUUGCAGCUGAUCACCACGUUUAGGGGUUGUUCCUGAAGGCAGUAAUAGCAGAAGGUGUUGUAAAGUGGAGUGAAAUUGUCAGAUGUUUACCAAUCCAUUUUUUCCCAAUAUAUUUAUUUUUGGAUGGAAAAAUAAACAACAGAAAACACUACAAAUAUUAUUCUCAACACUUGCUGAAUGAACACAAGUCCCAGUGUUUUGUACCAUUGGAAACAUCCAGUUAGGACUGACUGCUGAAUUCAAAGAGAAAUGUAGAUGUACAAAUAGACAAAGUACGAUGUAUAACUACAGAUCAAGCCACAAAAAGGAUUCAGCAUAUAUCUCCUUGGUCUAAAUGUCUGUGCUUUGCACAUACUGCUGUGUUUG